Molecule: non-coding RNA, 24 nt
Filed under: Arabidopsis thaliana (thale cress)
Lineage: Eukaryota; Viridiplantae; Streptophyta; Magnoliopsida; Brassicales; Brassicaceae
Source: RNAcentral
AGAGUUAAGGAUUGCCACAUCCUU